This 942-nucleotide long non-coding RNA is filed under the name Homo sapiens (human). RNAcentral's name for it is "long intergenic non-protein coding RNA 2690". The record is from RNAcentral. Lineage: Eukaryota; Metazoa; Chordata; Mammalia; Primates; Hominidae.
GCGACUCCUGGGUAAUGGCUGCUAAUGGUUCCUUAUGUGUUCUUCCGCCCGUACGCCUUUGCAUUUUCAACGUGUAUGCAUGUACCAAAAUUGAUGUAACUGGCCUCCAUUACGGGACAUUUAGGUUGUUUUCCAUUAUCUACUGCUGUAAAUAAUGCUGCAAAGAUCACCUUCAGAUUCAAAUAUUUCUGCAGGCAGCGUCUUAGAAAUGGGAUUGCUGGGUCACAGAGAACAUCCACUUAAAAUUUUUAAUGAACACUGCCAAACCGUCGUCAGGGAAGACUUCCAGCAAGUCUCGUACUGAUGUGGAAAUAUCUGUUCUCCUCCUUUGAAAGUGGGUCUGGAUCUUAAUUUGUCGCUGUGGCCCUGGCAUGUAGUAGGCUCAGUAAAUGCUUGCUGAGUGACCCUACGGGUUAUCAAGCCCUGGCUCUCUAUUUUCUCAGAAAAAAAGCAGCCCUUCUGCCCCUAAAAAAAGUCUACAAAGUCAAUCGUGAGACCAGACCUUGACCUGUUCCGUUUGGCGCUCUGGAUUGCGGAGCAUACCGAGGAGUCCUGGAUGGCAGAGCAGAUGCAACGGCACCCCUGAGCUGCCCUCAGGGGGUCCUCAGCCUUGGAGGAGGCAGGAGACCUGGGCUAUGGAGCCACUCACAGGCCCUACUGAGAACAACUUGGUGUCCAUCACAGUCCUCUUCAGAAUGCCCAGAAUAUGGGGAUAAGAAGGUGAAACCGGCAUGUUUAUUAACACAAUGGAAUAUUCUGUGGCCAAAUCAAAGGAAGACGUUGAGGAUUCUGGUGACACCUGGAAACGUACUGCUAAGGGAAAAAAGCAGGACCACAAUGUUAUGUGGAUAUUGACUGCGACUAUAUAUAAUGCCAGCGUGGACUUCUCAGAGAUGGAAUUUGGAGGAAUGUAAUACAGAUGCAAAUAGAGUUUUCCCCACA